Molecule: unclassified non-coding RNA, 338 nt
Filed under: soil metagenome
Description: partial contains 5.8S ribosomal RNA, internal transcribed spacer 2, and large subunit ribosomal RNA
Rfam family: 5.8S ribosomal RNA (bases 1-120)
Source: RNAcentral
GAUGAAGAACGCAGCGAAAUGCGAUACGUAGUGUGAAUUGCAGAAUUCAGUGAAUCAUCGAAUCUUUGAACGCACAUUGCGCCCUUUGGUAUUCCAAAGGGCAUGCCUGUUCGAGCGUCAUUUGUACCCUCAAGCUUUGCUUGGUGUUGGGCGUCUUGUCUCCAGUCCGCUGGAGACUCGCCUUAAAGUCAUUGGCAGCCGGCCUACUGGUUUCGGAGCGCAGCACAAGUCGCACUCUUUUCCAGCCAAGGUCAGUGUCCAACAAGCCUUUUUUCAACUUUUGACCUCGGAUCAGGUAGGGGUACCCGCUGAACUUAAGCAUAUCAAUAAGCGGAGGA